RNAcentral lists this transfer RNA (71 nucleotides) under Marmota monax (woodchuck). Its description in RNAcentral is "tRNA.Met". It matches the Rfam family "tRNA". Rfam says of the family: Transfer RNA (tRNA) molecules are approximately 80 nucleotides in length. Their secondary structure includes four short double-helical elements and three loops (D, anti-codon, and T loops). Lineage: Eukaryota; Metazoa; Chordata; Mammalia; Rodentia; Sciuridae. The record is from RNAcentral.
GGGGUUGUAGCUCAGUGUUAGAGCACUUGCCUCAUAUGCAUGUGGCAGUGAGUUUGAACCUCAGCACCACA